This 481-nucleotide ribosomal RNA is filed under the name Globigerinoides ruber albus. RNAcentral describes it as "SSU rRNA". It matches the Rfam family "Eukaryotic small subunit ribosomal RNA", at positions 1212 to 1488 of the family's 1831-position model. Lineage: Eukaryota; Foraminifera; Rotaliida; Globigerinidae. The record is from RNAcentral.
AUCUUACCGGGUCCGGACGUAUCGAGGAUUGACAGAUAGUUAUACAUGCCCUACAAGCAAGUAGGAGUCAGGUUUUAAACCUAAUGGCUCUUUCAUGAUUAUAUGAUAGGUGGUGCAUGGCCGUUCUUAAUUCGUGGAGUGAUCUGUCUGCUUAAUUGCGUUUCAAAUUUUUAACCGAGGACCGGGUUUUGGUUUGGCUAGUGGUCCUACGAUGACUGUGAACUGUCAUGUCUUCGGAUGUACGACUAUCGGUCUAGGAUCACAUGACUUGCCCCUGGGACUCUUUUGAACGCAACGGACGUGAUUGCAACCCCUUGUUGAGAUUAAAGAUAGUCUCGAUAUUCACUGGCCAAACUGGCUGCUUUAUGCAGUCUUGUUGAAUGGUGGAUAAACUCGGGGGACUGCUGACUAUAACCAUUUCUCAAAACAGAGGAAAGUUGCGGCAAUAACAGGUCUGUGAUGCCCUCAGAUGUCCCGGGCU